Molecule: long non-coding RNA, 707 nt
Filed under: Setaria viridis
Lineage: Eukaryota; Viridiplantae; Streptophyta; Magnoliopsida; Poales; Poaceae
Description: long non-coding RNA (SVIR_LNC006623)
Source: RNAcentral
CCAUUGUGAACCCCAAUUCGUGAGUGAUUGAUAUUCAGUUGUGCCUUCAUCUUGUUCUUGCUUGUUCUUCGAUUGCUUGCGGGAAUAGAACCUCGUGUUCAGGUUGAUCUUGCCAUCAGCAAGGUCAAUAACCAUUUGGAGUUGGUUCAGCGAUUGCUAAGGCGCCACGACCUGUUCGUUUGUAGUCGGAUCGCAAGAGUCACCUCCUCCACAAAUCGAAGUUAUCCCUCUCACCGAAAGAUCGGGCACUCCAGCUCUAUCAAGUGGUAUCAGGUUUCAGGUUGUUCGGUGAGAUCUACCCCCUUUAUUUGUAGUUUUGUUCAUCGUCCUAUCGUCCACCAGAAAAGCCACCAAAAAAAAAGUUUCAGGUUAGAACCACUGUCCAAGACCUUUUGAGCCUUUGCAUCUUUCAUUCAGUUUAUUGCUUUGUUGAGUUUUUGGUUGCAUCGCUGUGUCGUGUUGCUGGUCUUGGCGUCUAGUCCUUUAGAGUUUUGAGUUCCUGUCAUGUAUUAGUUCACAUCUUUGCACUUGAUCCUCCUUUUCCUUUGUCCUCCUUGUUCCUGUAAUCUUUCCCACGUCAUAGACCCCCUUGUGCACGCCACAUUUCCACCUACAAAAGGAAAGUAAUUUAUUUCGGGUUUUGUUUUAUCUCGGCAAGGAAACAGACCUUAACUGUUGCAUCCGUAGUCCGUUUGGGAAGUUUAGGU